CAGAUGUGAAAGACCCGGGGCGUCAACCUCCGGAAUAGCAUUUGAAACUAGGCAAACUAGAGUACUGUAGAGGGGGGUAGGAAUUUCAGGUGUAGCGGUGAAAUGCGUAGAGAUCUGAAGGAAUACCGGUGGCGAAGGCGGCCCCCUCGGACAGAUACUGACACUCAGAUGCGAAAGCGUGGGGAGCAAACAGGAUUAGAUACCCUGGUAG
Molecule: ribosomal RNA, 211 nt
Filed under: uncultured bacterium
Lineage: Bacteria
Description: partial 16S ribosomal RNA
Rfam family: Bacterial small subunit ribosomal RNA
Source: RNAcentral